This 22-nucleotide microRNA is filed under the name Sus scrofa (pig). Its description in RNAcentral is "ssc-miR-9827-5p". The record is from miRBase by way of RNAcentral. Lineage: Eukaryota; Metazoa; Chordata; Mammalia; Artiodactyla; Suidae.
GGUGAGAACUCAGAUUGUUGGC